GAUGAACGCUAGCUACAGGCUUAACACAUGCAAGUCGCGGGGCAACAUGGGGGUUGCUUGCAAUCCCCGAUGGCGGCCGGCGCACGAGAGAGUAACGCGUAUCCAACCUGCCCUUCACCACGCGAUAACCCGGCGAAAGUCGGACUAGUACCGUAUGUGAUCCAUUGACGGCUUCCGACUUGGACGGGAGGGUUGGCGCGGUGGGAUGGGGAUGGGUCCGUUUGGUUGAAGGGCGGGGGGACGACCGUCCGUGGCGGCGAUCGGUAGGGGAUCUGAGAGGAAGGCCCCCUACACUGGAACCGAGACCCGGUCCAGACUCCUACGGGAGGGAGCAGUGAGGAAGAUUGGUCAAUGGGCGUAAGCCCGAACCAGCCAAGUAGCGUGCAGGAGGACGGCGCUAUGGGUUGUAAACUGCUUUUAUGGGGGGAGAAAGUGCCCCACGUGUGGGUUUUUGAAGGUACCGCAUGAAUAAGCACCGGCUAACUACGUG
This 490-nucleotide ribosomal RNA is filed under the name uncultured bacterium. Its description in RNAcentral is "partial 16S ribosomal RNA". It matches the Rfam family "Bacterial small subunit ribosomal RNA", at positions 28 to 507 of the family's 1533-position model. The record is from RNAcentral.